UAUCGUAUCGUUUGUUAUUGGUAUGAGCUUUCGUGUGCAUGCACACUUCUUCAGAUAUCUGUAUCAUAUAUUCAGAUAUCUGAAUCAUUAUCUGUAUCUGAAGAAGUGUGCAUGCACACGAAAGCUCAUACCGAUAACAAACUUAGUUGG
RNAcentral lists this microRNA precursor (150 nucleotides) under Podarcis lilfordi (Lilford's wall lizard). Lineage: Eukaryota; Metazoa; Chordata; Lepidosauria; Squamata; Lacertidae. The record is from RNAcentral.